Molecule: ribosomal RNA, 256 nt
Filed under: uncultured bacterium
Lineage: Bacteria
Description: partial 16S ribosomal RNA
Rfam family: Bacterial small subunit ribosomal RNA
Source: RNAcentral
GUCCACGCCGUAAACGAUGGAUACUAGCUGUUCGGAGCAAUCUGAGUGGCUAAGCGAAAGUGAUAAGUAUCCCACCUGGGGAGUACGCACGCAAGUGUGAAACUCAAAGGAAUUGACGGGGGCCCGCACAAGCGGUGGAGCAUGUGGUUUAAUUCGAUGAUACGCGAGGAACCUUACCAAGGCUUAAAAUGGGAAACGACAGGUUUGGAAACAGACUUUUCUUCGGACGUUUUUCAAGGUGCUGCAUGGUUGUCGU